AAGACUGCCAAGCUUUCCUCUGCAGUGGAGGCUGAGAAUGAAUUAAAGGAAACUUAGGCAUUGAAAUCAGAAAGAGGGACCAGGUAAGACAGCUGCUGCAUAUAGUGCUGAAGGUCGUGUCCCAGCCCAGAAGCACACAGUUGGAAGACGAUGGAGGCCAACACGCACUUCAUCUGCUGGUCAAGCCACCUGCCCAGUGCAGUAUUGACCCUGUCAUGAAGAAGGAACACCUUCUGUCAGUCCACAAAGAAGUGCUCAAUGGCCUGUGGUGACAUUGUUAGCACCCUAAGAAAAUAAUAAUGUGAUCAGUUAAGAAAAAAAAAUUAAUCUACAUUUGCAGAGGAGCUCAGGUUUAAUCUGCAACCAGACUCAGAAAGAAGAAAGAGCUGAUAUAGAAGAAGUAAAAGAAUAGCCAAGGCUUUAUGAUACCUGAGAAUUGUGGAAGAGUACAGCAAAGGAGGGAAAUAAACGUAGAGAAAGAGAAAUGCCAAUAUUGUAAUUUUUUGCCUCAUUUUAGAAAAUUAUCUCAAGAGAUUCUGUGUGUUCAGCUCUAUGUUUCAGGCCAUUGAAUGAAAGACCUCAUGGUAGUAGCUAUAUCAUAUGUAAGCCUCAUAAUGUGAAAUGUUGAGGUACAAGGCUCUGGCAUGUAGCUUCAUUGACCCACUUUGUUUUUUUCUUGGCUUUGCACAGGAAAGAACUGAAGGACAAGUUAGUGGUAGGGUAGAAGAAAACAGCUUUACUGAAGUGGCAGUGUUACUGCUCUAUUACUGCUCUAUGACUGCUCCAGCAGAGGAGGGCUACCCCACAGGCAGAGAGUAGCCCCUUGAGCCAUUGUUCAUUCUCAUGUUGUAGGUUAGAUUCCUGGAUUUUCUGAGAAACUGGUUGAAGAACACAGCUCAGAAGCUCACCAGAGGAGCUGCUGGGGCAAAGCCAGGUACCUAAGCAGCAGGCUCACGGGAAGGAUCCCCUCCAGAGCGUCACAGAGUCAAGCCCAGCAGGGCAUAUACAUCAUCCACUGAAUCCACUAUAGGAACCUCCCGGAGGAUCUCUGAAGUCAGCAGCAGUGGUUGUGUACUACACAGGAACCACAACCUGACGGGCUAUGUUCACAUUGCAGGCUUGUACCUUCAUAAUGACAAUUUUCCGACAGAGGGAAAUCAAUAUCUUGAGGCAGGGAUACUUUUUCAAACAUACAUAAAAGCAUCAUGAGGACUAGCAGUGGCACUGCCUUCUGGGAUCUGACUAAAAUCAUGAGGAAAAUCAAAUCAGUGUUAAAUAGCUUCAAAAAAUUGUUUCCUCUGUACCUAAAAGUAGUAGAAUGACUACAUUUUCAACCCCAGUGUUUUUAAGCAGAUUUUUGACUUCACCCAGUAUAGUAUUUCUUAAUUUUUCUAUUCCUAGAAGAUCAAUGACUGGUGAUACUGAUGCAAAAUAACUUUGUGAUUUUCUAGAUCUUUAAUAUUAUUUGGGUUUGAUCAUUCCUACCUAUGACCAAAGAACAAAAUGUUAAAAAAGAAACAAAACUAAAACAGCCAAAAUAUAUUUAUCAUAGCCAUUGCUUAGUUUAGGCAGUGGUAUAAUAGGGCUCAAAAAUUAAGGACUGAUACACAUAAAAAUAAUAUAGAUAAAUGGAUGGAUAUCAAGAUGAGUAGAAACAAAGGUAUGUGAUAAAACUCAUACAGUAAAAGUGUUAAUGGCAAAAUAUAGAUAUUAAGGAUAGGAGUGCUCACUCUCACUAGAAAAUUCUUCACCUUUACUCUGUGCUUCAAAAUAUUUAUAUGAAACUGUUGGAGAAAAUCAAGAUAAAUUUCCUUAGCUGUAAUAUCUGGGAUACAAUAUGGUAGAGUGGUGAAAAUGUUUUGAACAUUAACGUCAGAGGAACCUGAUCUUUAGAAAUUUAUUUGAUCUGAACCUUUAUUUUUUACUCUGUAAAAAUAAUAAUGCUUAACUGCUUAACUCAAAGGAUUGGUGGAGGAUUAAAUGAGAUAAUCUGCAAAAAGAGUUUAACAGUGAUGGAUAUCUAUUUAUCUGUAUAUCCAGAGAGAGAGAAAGUAUGUGUGUGUAUCUGUACAAGUGUUUCUAAAACUAAAUUUGGAAAAGGAUACAAUCCACUUAUUUUAAAAAAUACCCAAAGACCUAAAAUAAUUCAUAAUAAUUAUGUAAUUAAAAUUAAAUCUAAUGCUUCCCAUGAUGUGCCCAAGAAGUAUACUAUAUUUCUACAGUA
This 2224-nucleotide long non-coding RNA is filed under the name Homo sapiens (human). RNAcentral's name for it is "HSALNT0125352". Lineage: Eukaryota; Metazoa; Chordata; Mammalia; Primates; Hominidae. The record is from RNAcentral.